Molecule: ribosomal RNA, 868 nt
Filed under: Vibrio alginolyticus
Lineage: Bacteria; Pseudomonadati; Pseudomonadota; Gammaproteobacteria; Vibrionales; Vibrionaceae
Description: bacterial SSU rRNA
Rfam family: Bacterial small subunit ribosomal RNA
Source: RNAcentral
CACACUGGACUGAGACACGUCCAGACUCUACGGGAGGCAGCAGUGGGAAUAUGCACAAUGGCGCAAGCUGAUGCAGCCAUGCCGCGUGUAUGAAGAAGGCUUCGGGUUGUAAAGUACUUUCAGUCGUGAGGAAGGCGUCGUCGUUAAUAGCUGCGUCGUUUGACGUUAGCGACAGAAGAAGCACCGGCUAACUCCGUGCCAGCAGCCGCGGUAAUACGGAGGGUGCGAGCGUUAAUCGGAAUUACUGGGCGUAAAGCGCAUGCAGGUGGUUUGUUAAGUCAGAUGUGAAAGCCCGGGGCUCAACCUCGGAAUAGCAUUUGAAACUGGCAGACUAGAGUACUGUAGAGGGGGGUAGAAUUUCAGGUGUAGCGGUGAAAUGCGUAGAGAUCUGAAGGAAUACCGGUGGCGAAGGCGGCCCCCUGGACAGAUACUGACACUCAGAUGCGAAAGCGUGGGGAGCAAACAGGAUUAGAUACCCUGGUAGUCCACGCCGUAAACGAUGUCUACUUGGAAGGUUGUGGCCUUGAGCCGUGGCUUUCGGAGCUAACGCGUUAAGUAGACCGCCUGGGGAGUACGGUCGCAAGAUUAAAACUCAAAUGAAUUGACGGGGGCCCGCACAAGCGGUGGAGCAUGGUGGUUUAAUUCGAUGCAACGCGAAGAACCUUACCUACUCUUGACAUCCAGAGAACUUUCCAGAGAUGGAUUGGUGCCUUCGGGAACUCUGAGACAGGUGCUGCAUGGCUGUCGUCAGCUCGUGUUGUGAAAUGUUGGGUUAAGUCCCGCAACGAGCGCAACCCUUAUCCUUGUUUGCCAGCGAGUAAUGUCGGGAACUCCAGGGAGACUGCCGGUGAUAAACCGGAGGAAGGUG